This 546-nucleotide small RNA is filed under the name Synura borealis. RNAcentral's name for it is "eukaryotic LSU rRNA". The stretch from base 214 to 359 matches the Rfam family "5.8S ribosomal RNA". Lineage: Eukaryota; Synurophyceae; Synurales; Mallomonadaceae. The record is from RNAcentral.
GUAGGUGAACCUGCGGAAGGAUCAUUACCACACCCUCAAAUACCCAGUUGUAAUCACUUUAGGGUGAUUAUAACUUGGUACGUCUCGUGAACCGUUACCAUAUUGGAAAGACCAUUUAUGGUUUUUAGUGGUCUUUCCGUUUAAUAUUUUGUUCCACUCUUCGAGUGCGAUCAACCUUUGAUAUAAAGACUUUAAGAAAAGAGAAAUAAAAAUCACUUUCAGCAACGGAUGUCUAGGUUCCCACAACGAUGAAGAACGCAGCGAAAUGCGAUACGUCAUGCGAAUUGCAGAAUCAAGUGAGUCAUCAAAAUUUUGAACGCAUCUUGCACUGCCUCGGCAGUAUGUCUGUUGGAGUGUCUGUAUUUACCCACAACUCCUAAUAGGAGUUUAGACGGUCUUCCGCGAUAUAAUUGCGUGGAAGACUCAGAUGUAAUCUGUUCGCCGUCUACUGUAGCAAGUUGACUCGUACGUCUGCACUUUAAUGUCAGAAAACUAGCAAGUUGCCUCGGGAAACAUGAACUUAAACUUUAAUCGGACCUCCAAUCA